This 1370-nucleotide long non-coding RNA is filed under the name Lupinus angustifolius (narrow-leaved blue lupine). RNAcentral describes it as "long non-coding RNA (LANG_LNC002096)". The record is from RNAcentral. Lineage: Eukaryota; Viridiplantae; Streptophyta; Magnoliopsida; Fabales; Fabaceae.
UGUAGUCGUAGUUCACUUAAUGAAAGUUGGGUACAGUAACAAACAAUAACUAGGAGAAAACAUAUCCUAAAUGUUAAUUAUUGUUCGAUUCGAUCAGUGAGAUUGAAGGAAAUAGAUCUUUUGAACAUUAGAGGCAAUGGACAAGUUUUUUUGCGUCAAAAUUUCAAAGAUGGAAACAUCUUGAUUAGAUGGGGCAAAAGUCAAAUAUAUAAAUUCGUCACAAACUUGAGUAAAGGUGUUAAGAGCUUUCAAAUUGAUAUUGGAUAACUAAAAUAUAUUGUGAAUCAUAAAAGGAGAUUUUUUUUUUUUUCUUUUUUGGGGUUAACUAGAAACUUUCACAAUGUGAAAUUAUGAACGUCAUCCUUCCAAUCAAAUUGUCCUAUGCUUAAUAUUUGAGAUUGUUAGACAAGGAUCAUCUCAAAAAAUUCCCCAUUUGGAGAAGUUUUCAUGAUUUCUUUGCUCUAUUGCUCCUUUUUCAUCUGACAUGUCAUUUCUUGUUUGCACACUCUUCUUUAAAAAGAAAUGAUAUAUAUAAUAUUGUUACCGUAGCUUGCAACAAUUAUAAAUGGCACGAAAUAAUACUUAUUGUCUGAGUCACGACAAGAUCGCUCUCUUUAAGACGUUUCGUGACACUGCCCAAAAUGUGCAAGCAGACCAUCAACCACGUCGUUCCUAGGAUAAAACAGUUCUGAUCUCUGUUAUCGAAUUCUUACUGCACUAUAAGAACCGAUCUCAAAUGUACCCACCACAAUAUGACUACCAAUGCCAAUUCUCAAAAUUCCCACAAUAUGGCAACAGUGUCAUUUCUCGAAAUACAUACAAUAUGGCUACCCGUACCAAUUCUCUUCCCACGAUACUGACUACCAUUGCAGUUCUCGAAAUGCCCACAAUUUGGCUAACCGUGCCAAUUCUUUACCCACAAUACUGACUACUAGUGUCAGUUCUCGAAAUCUCACUUUGGCUGCAUGUGCCAAUUCUUAAGUGACACAGAAAGAAAGGGGGAGAAGGUUGCCAGAAAUGUGUCGGCGAAGUAUUAGGGGGAGAAAGAAAAGUUGAGAGGAAACGCCUUCAACUUGGUGCAAGUUAUAAUGAGGGGAGAAAACCUAUAUUUAUAACAUGAGAUGUUUUCCAUGUUCCUCAUCUCUCCAAUUUCGGACUUGAGAGUUAUUUUUUUCAAAACUAUUCUAUAUGGGACUUGGAUGUUUUUUAUAUAUUUCACACCACCAUGUUCCAACAAUCCCUCACUUGAAAUUAAAAAACGAUUUCCAAGAAUAUUUGUGGUCUAAAUAAGAUUGUGCAUAAACAAAGGUGUCAUGCGACUUGAACAUCGCAUAGUGAAUAAGAUCUAGAUUUUACUAGAGUGACUCGUA